Molecule: ribosomal RNA, 722 nt
Filed under: Brocchinia tanimbarensis
Lineage: Eukaryota; Metazoa; Mollusca; Gastropoda; Neogastropoda; Cancellariidae
Description: partial 16S ribosomal RNA
Rfam family: Bacterial large subunit ribosomal RNA (bases 1-589)
Source: RNAcentral
UUUAUCAAAAACAUGGCUCUUGUUGUUAUAAUAUAGGAAGUCGAGCCUGCCCGGUGAUAAUAUUUAACGGCCGCGGUACCCUGACCGUGCGAAAGGUAGCAUAAUAGUUUGCCCUAUAAUUGAGGGCUUGUAUGAAUGGUUUGACAAGAACAAAACUGUCUCUUACUAAUUUAAUAAAAUUUUAUUCUUAGGUGAAGAAGCCUAAAUUAAAUUAAAAGACGAGAAGACCCUAUCGAGCUUAAAGCAAAUUAAUAGAUUAAAAAAUAUUAAUAAAAAAUAAGCUAUUAAGUAUUUUAGUUGGGGCGACUAUGGAACAAAAAAAGCUUCCUAAAUCAAAAUAACUUACUAGUAAUGAUCCAUAAUUUUAUGAUAAAAGGAAAAGUUACCGUAGGGAUAACAGCAUAAUCUUCUUUGAGAGUUCAAAUCGAAAAGAAGGUUUGUGACCUCGAUGUUGGACCAAAAUAUCCUAAAGAUGCAGCAGUCUUUAAGGGUUGGUCUGUUCGACCAUUAAAAUUUUACGUGAUCUGAGUUCAGACCGGCGUGAGCCAGGUCAGUUUCUAUCUUUAAUUUUUAUUUUAAACUUAGUACGAAAGGAUCAGUUUAAAGUAACUUUUGCUUAUUAUGAUAUAAUAUAAUAUUAAAUUUAAAUUUUAAUAUCAGAUUAGCAAAAUUAAUGCGUCCGUCUUAGAAUCGGUUGAUAUAAGUUAAAUCUUUAUNUGAUC